Non-coding RNA from Fomitiporia mediterranea MF3/22, 97 nucleotides. NCBI's taxonomy places the organism in Eukaryota, Fungi, Basidiomycota, Agaricomycetes, Hymenochaetales, Hymenochaetaceae. The record is from the annotation of a RefSeq genome assembly.
UCCUUGAUGGUCCAACGGCUAGGAUUGCCCGCUUUCACUUGUUCUUAAAGACUUGAAAGGUUCCGGGCCGGCCCGGGUUCGACUCCCGGUCAGGGAA